AGAAUCAACGCUGGCGGCGUGCCUAACACAUGCAAGUCGAACGAGAAAGUGGAGCAAUCCAUGAGUAAAGUGGCGCACGGGUGAGUAACACGUGACUAACCUACCCUUGAGUGGGGGAUAACCUAGAGAAAUCUGGGCUAAUACCGCAUAAUACCUUCGGGUCAAAGGAGCAAUUCGCUUAAGGAGGGGUCGCGGCCGAUUAGUUAGUUGGCGGGGUAAUGGCCCACCAAGACUAUGAUCGGUAUCCGGCCUGAGAGGGCGCACGGACACACUGGAACUGAAACACGGUCCAGACUCCUACGGGAGGCAGCAGUGGGGAAUUUUGCGCAAUGGGGGAAACCCUGACGCAGCAACGCCGCGUGGAGGAUGAAGUCCCUUGGGACGUAAACUCCUUUCGAUCGGGACGAUAAUGACGGUACCGAGAGAAGAAGCCCCGGCUAACUUCGUGCCAGCGCCGC
Molecule: ribosomal RNA, 458 nt
Filed under: uncultured bacterium
Lineage: Bacteria
Description: SSU rRNA
Rfam family: Bacterial small subunit ribosomal RNA
Source: RNAcentral